Molecule: ribosomal RNA, 292 nt
Filed under: uncultured bacterium
Lineage: Bacteria
Description: partial 16S ribosomal RNA
Rfam family: Bacterial small subunit ribosomal RNA
Source: RNAcentral
CGGAUCCUACGGGGCGCAGCAGUCGGGAAUAUUGCGCAAUGGAGGAAACUCUGACGCAGUGACGCCGCGUAUAGGAAGAAGGUUUUCGGAUUGUAAACUAUUGUCGUUAGGGAAGAUAAAAGACUGUACCUAAGGAGGAAGCCCCGGCUAACUAUGUGCCAGCAGCCGCGGUAAUACGGAGGAUGCGAGCGUUAUCCGGAUUUAUUGGGUUUAAAGGGUGCGCAGGCGGCGAGUUAAGUCAGCGGUAAAAUUUCGGUGCUCAACCCCGACGAGCCGUUGAAACUGGCUUGCU